RNAcentral lists this ribosomal RNA (301 nucleotides) under uncultured bacterium. RNAcentral describes it as "partial 16S ribosomal RNA". It matches the Rfam family "Bacterial small subunit ribosomal RNA", at positions 509 to 807 of the family's 1533-position model. The record is from RNAcentral.
CAGUCGCCGCGGUAAUACGGAGGGUGCAAGCGUUAAUCGGAAUUACUGGGCGUAAAGCGUGCGUAGGUGGUGGUUUAAGUCCGUUGUGAAAGCCCUGGGCUCAACCUGGGAAUUGCAGUGGAUACUGGGUCACUAGAGUGUGGUAGAGGAUAGUGGAAUUUCCGGUGUAGCAGUGAAAUGCGUAGAGAUCGGAAGGAACAUCUGUGGCGAAGGCGGCCAUCUGGGACAACACUGACGCUGAGGCACGAAAGCGUGGGGAGCAAACAGGAUUAGAUACCCCCGUAGUCCCUGUCUCUUAUAC